GUUAAAGUCGAAACCAAUUGAUCAUCGAUAUUCUCACGUUUAUCGCAUCUGUGGUCUUUCCAUGACUGUUUUCGACACAGUCGUACAUAGUACGCCAUCGUUUAAUCGAAUAAUAUUGCUGUUAAUGUGUGGUUUGUGUAUAUGUAUAAAUAUAGCGUGUUAAAAUAAUUCUCCAUCCAUCCAGCCAUCCAUCAGUGAUUCGGUGUUCGUCUGUGUAUGUCUGUGUGUAACAUGACAUUUGAAAGUAGCUACUAGUUUAUUUUGCCACAUUAACACAGUAAACAGAUACCGAUUUUAUGUUAACAUGCAUGAAGCGCACAUUCAUGUGGCAUCACGUGACGUAGUUUUGUAUGUUAUGUAUCAUGUACUUCCGGUGAGGUUUUGUAACAAUGAUUGUGCGCUUAUGUAAUUAUUCACAGCUGCACAAUAAAGACUGGGUUUGUUCGUUAACUGCAGCGGAUCUCAUUAUUUACAGUAAGAACAACAUAAAUUCAUUCACAUCCAUCAUGUUUACUGAUUGUUUCUGUACAGAUAGAUGAUUCAUAACUUAGUUCAGUGUUUCAAAUCUGCAAUGAUAAACAAAGUUUACGUCAACAUACUCUUCUAGUUAGUAUAAGUCAGGGCCCGACCACAAUAUAUGUAAGUAUUAUUUAUAUAUCUCAAUAUGUAUCAUUUAUAUAUUGCUUUAUGUAUUUCAUUUUAUUUAUAUUUUUAUCAGAAUAUGUCAUAUUUAUAUGUUAGUUUCAAAAUGCAUUUUAUUUAUAUAUUAUUUUUAUUACAGUAUUUUAUUGAAAACCUUCAGAUACAUUGAAAACAGAGUAUUGUCCAUUGACUAUGUAGGUUUUGGAGCUGACACAAGUAUCAUCUGAUGAUCUCAGAACAUAUCAUAUGUUUACCGUGGUAUAUGUGUGUUGUGUUCACUGCAGAUGACUGAGGUCAGGCGAGCCAUCUCUGAAGCGCUGUGGGGAAUGUGUGCAGCGGAUGCCAUGUCGAUGCCCGUCCACUGGUACUACAACACACAAGACAUCAGGAGGGACUUCAGUGGCUGGAUCACUGGAUUCACUGCACCGCGGAGCAGACACCCGUCCAGCAUCCUAAGCCUGUCCAGCACAGCUGGCAGUGGACGCAGAGCCGGAUCAACCGGAACCGCAGCUCCUGUGGUGGGGAACGUGAUUCUGCAUGAUAAGCUGAAGUUCUGGACGGAUCCGCGUGGAUCAGUGCACUACCAUCAGGGUCUUCACGCGGGUGGAAACACGCUGAACACUCUCUGUGCUCUGAGAGUUGCACGCAUUCUGUCCACUGGUGCUUUUGUUAGUAUGGCUGAUCCUGAAGCACGAGCCGCUGUACUGUCAGAUUACAUAGAGUUCAUGACGCGUCCCGGCGCACACAACAACACGUACGCCGAGUCUUUCCAUAGAAGCUUCUUCUCUGACUGGCAGGAACUCAGACCUACGUCCUCUAGAGAGGUUCUGGAGUUUGCGGAGCAGCGCUCCAAAUGCAUGUUGAGCACAUCCCGUGCUGAUAGCCAGCUGAAUGCUAUAGGAUGUCUUCCCAUGGCUAUUCCCUUUGUCCUGCUGUCUGCCACAGCCAAUGAGGAGAAAGCAGUUUCUGCAGCGGUGGAGUUUGUAAAGCUCACUCAUCCUCAUCCAGCACUGGAGCCGCUGGUGUCUCUGUACAUGCGAGCGCUUCACGCCACACUGAACGGAGCGUGUCUGAAACAACAGGCGGAGAUGGCGCUCAAAUCACCCGUGCUGGACACCUGGGACGUGUGUCAACACUUUAUACAGUGUGCAGAGAGGUUUCCAGGAUCAUCAGAGGAGCGUCUGAAGGUUCAUCAGAGUGCUGUGGAGUCUCUCGGACUCGCCUGCUACACACAAGGAGCUCUCAGCAGUCUCUUCUACCUGGCCUACAACUUUCAUAAUGACGUGACUGGGGGAAUCCUGACCAACACCAACUGUGGAGGUGAGAACUGUAACCGUGGGGCAGCAUUAGGGGCUCUGCUCGGGGCCCAGGCGGUGUAUCUCGGCUCAGUCGUACCACAGGAGUGGAAGGAUGGGCUGGUUGAAGCUCAGGGGCGAAUCACUGACAUCCUGCAGGAGCUGAACAGAUCCACAUCAGUCUGA
Long non-coding RNA from Cyprinus carpio (common carp), 2123 nucleotides. The record is from Ensembl. NCBI's taxonomy places the organism in Eukaryota, Metazoa, Chordata, Actinopteri, Cypriniformes, Cyprinidae.